Molecule: ribosomal RNA, 252 nt
Filed under: uncultured microorganism
Description: partial 16S ribosomal RNA
Rfam family: Bacterial small subunit ribosomal RNA
Source: RNAcentral
UACGUAGGUCCCGAGCGUUGUCCGGAUUUAUUGGGCGUAAAGCGAGCGCAGGUGGUUUAAUAAGUCUGAUGUCAAAGGCAGUGGCUCAACCAUUGUGUGCAUUGGAAACUGUUAGACUUGAGUGCAGUAGAGGAGAGUGGAAUUCCAUGUGUAGCGGUGAAAUGCGUAGAUAUAUGGAGGAACACCGGUGGCGAAAGCGGCUCUCUGGACUGUAACUGACACUGAGGCUCGAAAGCGUGGGUAGCAAACAGG